UUAUGCAUAGUACAUGUACAAGCUGUUUGCUGCAGCACAUGCGAUUGAGUUCUCUGUUGGGUGCCAAGCUAGGUGCAGCAACUUUGUUGUGAAAUCAAAAGCAUUUCCAUUCGCAUCAACUCCGGGGUUUUCUGCUCCUGUUAUGAGUUAUGACAUUUACCAAAACAGUUCAUUUCAAUUUCCCCAUCAACCUGCUCCCCAGGGGAUACAGCAAGAGACAUAGUAGGAAGUAUGAAAUCAUAACAAAUGAAAACCAAUUCACUACCUCGUCUGACAACACGUGUUAUGCUACUUAAGGAUCUGGAAGGCCUUGAGGGAGUCUGAACUUGUCUUCUGAAAGAAAAUUUAGAUGUUUAUAACUACCAACAUCUUUACAUAAAUCAUAAUUCAAAGCACUCUAUUUGUUACUCCACU
This 414-nucleotide long non-coding RNA is filed under the name Gossypium barbadense (sea-island cotton). Its description in RNAcentral is "long non-coding RNA (GBAR_LNC016050)". Lineage: Eukaryota; Viridiplantae; Streptophyta; Magnoliopsida; Malvales; Malvaceae. The record is from RNAcentral.